ACACGAGAAGGGAGGUGGUCCAAACUUUGUAUGCUCAUAGGACUCGUGAGGUGACUGUCCGCUAGCCGGUCUCGUGGUCCUCACCUCUAGCCGGGUGGCCCACGGGCACCGGCACCGGCGAGUACCAGGCAGAUCACCCGACCCCCGGGCUGCCGUCGACAAGUCCCGACGGCCCGUUGUCCGCAUCGCGCGGCGACGGAGGCACCCGGGGGUCGCUCGUU
Molecule: small RNA, 221 nt
Filed under: Frankia canadensis
Lineage: Bacteria; Bacillati; Actinomycetota; Actinomycetes; Frankiales; Frankiaceae
Description: Actinobacteria sRNA Ms_IGR-5
Rfam family: Actinobacteria sRNA Ms_IGR-5
Source: Rfam by way of RNAcentral